This 209-nucleotide long non-coding RNA is filed under the name Mytilus galloprovincialis (Mediterranean mussel). Lineage: Eukaryota; Metazoa; Mollusca; Bivalvia; Mytilida; Mytilidae. The record is from RNAcentral.
CCUAUACUCACUUUUUUUUCUGAUGUCAGAAACCAUGCCUCACCGCAAGGUUUUUAAAAGGAUAGAACACAGGCAAAUGCAAAAAGAUUCUAAUGACUAUCUUUGCUGCCUAGGUCUCUAUAUAAUGAUUUAUGUUUUAUGGGAUACUAAACUCCUGUUCUACAAAAACAAAUAUAUUCAGUUUAAGUGAGGUUUUAGUCUGAUCUAAG